AGUAAUUCCAUCUAACCCCAGAGUACAAUAGAGCAAUUAUCAAAACAGUGAAGCAUGUAUGUCAAUCAUCAAAACUGAGAUUGAAACAUAAGAUCAGAGAGGGCUUUGGAGCUUAGAGUGCUCAAUGAUAUUUUACAAGGAAACCUCAAAUUACCACAGAUUAUAAAUCGUUCAUGUGCUUCUAAACCUCCAAAAUGAAUGAGGCCCUAUGCCUCAGAGUCUACUCAAUCCUUUCUUUUCAGAACCACUUUGUUACACACCAGAAGACCAAUAAUUUAAUGUUCUAUUUGUGUACAUGCUUACCUAGUAGACUUUGUUACUCCUAACAUCUAUAAUCAAGACUUAUGUUGAGUUGUCAAGUUCUCUCUAGAUAUGAAUUUGCAGUCCAAACAAAACUUUCUAUCUAGUUUCUUUAUAAGAAAUAAAUUAAUUUAAGAACGUGUAACUCCACUCUUUUAUGUGAUAAGAUGCUUCUUCUGCGUUUUAAAACACAUGUUGGCUAUUUUAAAAUCAAAAGCUUAGAAGAAAUCUAGGAUAGUCCUAUCCUUUCAUAUUUGAUUCCAGUAUGUCAUAACCCCAUGAAAACAUUCAAAUGCUCUAAUGUCAUUCUCUUCAUGCCAUUAAGAUCCCUUCCUAAGAAACUCUAUUCUUCUAAAGGUAUUUCAUAGACUAUGCCUUCCAAAUCCUCCCAAAUUUUUAUCUUAUAAUAUUCCUCUAGCCAUAUCGGACUAAUCACAUUAAAGGAGGUGUCUUUUUUUGAUACAAACUUUAGGAUUAUGAUCCUAUUCUCCUAUUCUUUUUAUAUCCACCAUGAAAUCUAGGAUAAUCCUAUCCUUUCAUAGAUGAUCAAUUUUACGUUCUUCUUUCAUUCCCUAACUACAAUUUUAUCAAUCUUGUCUUACGGGAGGAAAUUCUGAGAUUUUCAAUUUUAUCAAUCCUAUCUCCUACAUAAAAUUCAAAGAUGAUCAAUUUUAUGUCAUUCUUUCAUCCCCUAUCUCCAAUUAUAUCUACAUAAAAUUCAGAGAUGAUCAAUUUUACGUCCUUCUUUCAUUCCCUAUCUACAAUUUUAUCAAUCUUACUGUACUACCACAACUUAAAAGUCUCAUUCAUGUGCCUUGUUCCCAACCUAUUUAGUUUCUUGUGGAUAUAUAAAAUUGAUCACUCUCCUAAUCAUUAUGUCUACUAUUUUUUAUUGAUUUACUUGUUCCUAUUCAUAUCGUAGAUCGUAAACUAGUUUCUUUACCUACACCUACUGAGUAGCCCUUACUUUUUUGAUAUUGUACUUAGAUGAUAUACCACAUUGCUUAUGGAUAAUGAAAAUGGACCCUCUCCAUUAUUGGAGGGUCCAGUAUCACAUAAGAUUGUGACAUGUAGACUUUAAAAAAAUUGAUAGUUCAUAUUUUAAAAUAUUUUUAGGCAAAAACUUACUAGAAAUGAUGAAAUAAAUAUGGGUCUCACAUUCCAGUAUUGGACCCUCCAGUACUGGAGAGGAUCCCGGGCUCAUGGAUAAUGGCCUAACAUUAUCACAUCGUCGAUCCAUAUCAGAGAUUCAACAAAGUUUUAUAUUAGUUGACUGCACAAUACAACUUCCACCUUUUAUCCUAACCUAACUCACACUGUUAGUGACAUUUUUUAUUUUUAAAUGGGUAAUAUUAAAAGGAAGAGUAAAUUACACGACACCCAUGAGUUUUAGCGAAAUUACACAAAUCACCCCUCAAUUUUUUACACCUACAUAAACCCUGCCAAUUUUUAUACUUUCAUUACACGGACCACCGCUUGAUAAAUAAGUGUAAUCUUUUAAACAAAAAUGUGAUAAAUGCAAUUAAGUCAAACAAAACAUGGUAUGGAAUUACAGGAAGUAGAAAAUGGAGCUGCAAUUGCUUCUGUGACAGAAAUUUCAGAGGGUCAGCAAAAAGUUGUGGUGAAAGAUGAUUCAGGAGUGCAAGUAUCUUCCCAUGGGAGAGUUUUUCUCCUUGGAGAGAAUCGAUGGGAAGAACCUUCAAGACUUGUUGCAACUCCUGGAGUCGACAGGACCAAGAACAAGGAUGGAACAACAAAAUGCCUUCAAUGUCGCGGGGAAGGUCAAUUGUUAUGUACGGGUAUGAAAUUUUGCUUAUAUUUUAAUGAAACUUCAGUAUCCUUUAGUAGGUUCAUAGUGCAUUGUUCUGGAAGACAACUUUCAUUGUUAAACUACAUUUAAUUUGAUAUAAGCUUCAAGAAGCAGUGCUGUUCAUAAAGGGUAACAUAUUGUAUUUUCUAGAACAGGUUUUUCUAAUCCUCGUGCUGAACUGGUAUUAGUUUUCUUCUGUACCCUUUGCCUUCUAUAUAUUCUUCUUUGGAGGAAUUGAUAACUUAGGUAUGCCUUUGUUUCUUCAUGCAUGCUUCACAUCAUAAGGAAACAACUUCUAACAUAGACUGCUAGGUUUAUGAUAAUAUUAAUCUGUAUUUGGAUCUCUUACAAUAACCAUUACAAAGGAAAUCAUAAGACCGAUUUUUGACAGAUUGGUAUGUGUAUUAUUUUUAUGAACACUUAUGAAAAUUUCUCAGUCAACUUCCAUUUCUUUUAUUGCAGAAUGUGACGGAUCAGGUGAACCAAAUAUUGAACCCCAAGUAAGGGAUAUUUAAAUUUUGUAAAGAAAAAUUACUUUUGUUCUUAUUUUCCUGAGUUGCACAAGCUUUUGAACUUACCAAUGAGUUCUCUAAUGCAGUUUAUGGAGUGGGUGGGUGAGACUACAAAAUGUCCAUAUUGUGAAGGCCUAGGCUAUACUCCAUGUGAUCUGUGUGGAGGGAAAGCUACAGUAUAAGUAUGACAUACAUUCUUCAGCUAUUCAUGCAUGUAUAUUGUUGUCAAUAUCAAUGCAUCACAAAAAUUGGUUGUUCCUGAAUGUUCUCAACUGGAAAAGAAAGUAAUUCCAUCUAACCCCAGAGUACAAUAGAGCAAUUAUCAAAACAGUGAAGCAUGUAUGUCAAUCAUCAAAACUGAGAUUGAAACAUAAGAUCAGAGAGGGCUUUGGAGCUUAGAGUGCUCAAUGAUAUUUUACAAGGAAACCUCAAAUUACCACAGAUUAUAAAUCGUUCAUGUGCUUCUAAACCUCCAAAAUGAAUGAGGCCCUAUGCCUCAGAGUCUACUCAAUCCUUUCUUUUCAGAACCACUUUGUUACACACCAGAAGACCAAUAAUUUAAUGUUCUAUUUGUGUACAUGCUUACCUAGUAGACUUUGUUACUCCUAACAUCUAUAAUCAAGACUUAUGUUGAGUUGUCAAGUUCUCUCUAGAUAUGAAUUUGCAGUCCAAACAAAACUUUCUAUCUA
Molecule: long non-coding RNA, 3311 nt
Filed under: Lupinus angustifolius (narrow-leaved blue lupine)
Lineage: Eukaryota; Viridiplantae; Streptophyta; Magnoliopsida; Fabales; Fabaceae
Description: long non-coding RNA (LANG_LNC002914)
Source: RNAcentral